CCUACGGCGGGCAGCAGUGAGGAAUAUUGGUCAAUGGACGAGAGUCUGAACCAGCCAAGUAGCGUGAAGGAUGACUGCCCUAUGGGUUGUACACUUCUUUUAUAUGGGAAUAAAACAGGGUAUGCAUACCCUCUUGUAUGUACCAUAUGAAUAAGGAUCGGCUAACUCCGUGCCAGCAGCCGCGGUAAUACGGAGGAUCCGAGCGUUAUCCGGAUUUAUUGGGUUUAAAGGGAGCGUAGGUGGGUUGUUAAGUCAGUUGUGAAAGUUUGCGGCUCAACCGUAAAAUUGCAGUUGAAACUGGCAGUCUUGAGUACAGUAGAGGUGGGCGGAAUUCGUGGUGUAGCGGUGAAAUGCUUAGAUAUCACGAAGAACUCCGAUUGCGAAGGCAGCUCACUGGACUGCAACUGACACUGAUGCUCGAAAGUGUGGGUAUCAAACAGGAUUAGAUACCCCAGUAGUC
Molecule: ribosomal RNA, 460 nt
Filed under: uncultured bacterium
Lineage: Bacteria
Description: partial 16S ribosomal RNA
Rfam family: Bacterial small subunit ribosomal RNA
Source: RNAcentral